Molecule: long non-coding RNA, 1209 nt
Filed under: Rhinopithecus bieti (black snub-nosed monkey)
Lineage: Eukaryota; Metazoa; Chordata; Mammalia; Primates; Cercopithecidae
Description: lncRNA (ENSRBIG00000045441.1)
Source: RNAcentral
AUGCUCUGGUCUGGCACUGGGCCUACGAGAAGCACGAGCGGCGAGAGCCGGGACGCCCUGAACUUUCCCCUAGGCCGGGCCUUUACGCAGAAGCGUCAUUGCCCUGGUGACGUGACGUCCUUCCUCAGGAUUGUGCGCCGGGGUGGGGAAACAGAUGUACAACCGCCAUUUUGCGCAUCAAUUCACCAGAGGUCGGGUCAGGUUGUCUUAACGCAGGCAGAGGGGUGUGGCAGGGCUCCAACCGCUCGGGGUCCCGCGACUUCCAUUAAUGAAUUCGCACACUGGCCGUCACCACUCAACACGCCGACGAUACUCUGUCCAGAGGAAAAGUGUAGUUUGUUGAAAGCGUGUGGAAGAAAACCCCGGAUAUACAUAUACUUGUCUUCAAGGACCUAAUUUGCAGAUCUUAUGCAUUGCACAAAGUGAGAAUACUUGGUUGCAAGUGACCGAAAUUCAACUCCUCCAAAAAGGAUUUAUUGGUUCAUGUAAUUGCGAAGUGCAAGAGUGCAUCUUAAGGCAAGACUGCAUCUGGAGACUCAAAUACUGCUGUCAAGACUGUCUCUCCAACUCUUUGUUUGCAUUGCUUUAUUCUUCUAGAGUCUCUCCUAGUGGCUGACAAAUGGCUGCCAAACUCAAAUCUCCCAGUUAAGCAAUCGCAAUGGAGGAAAUAAACCAAAUAACUCUCUACCGAUGUCCAUAUCUCAAUUUCAGGUUCUGUGUGCAUGCUCCUAUGAUUAGCAGCCCCAGCACUAAUGCAUAGAGGAGAUAUUUCCCAAAGGAUUCUGAAGAAAGCGGGGUGGGAACAUUAGGCAGAAAAGAACAAUUCCCAUAGUCUAUUGUACCAAUGUUUCCCCACUUCAUAGUGAAGCAACUUUUUAAAACAUUCUGGAUACAUUACAAAUCAAUGUUUCUGUCCAUUUAAAAUCAUUUAAUGCACUACAUGUUUGUCUCUUUUUGGCUGUGCAACAUUUGAAUCCCUGUCCUUUCUGGAAUUUGCCACUGUGAGAGCCUUAGUGGGAAGGCAGGCCACAUCCCCCAUCACAGAUGUUAAAUAAUACAUAUGCUUUUAUUUAUUUUUUUGCUGUGAAUGUAUUAUUAUUGUUAUAUUUCUUAUUAUACUUUAGUUCUGGUGCAGGUUUCUUAUAUAGGUAUCCAUGUGCCAUGGUGGUUUGUUGCACCCAUCAACCCAUCAUCUACAUUAGAUAUUUC